GGGAGAGGUUAGCCGUAAGGCGAAGCUUUGAACUUAAGCCCCAGUAAACGGCGGCCGUAACUAUAACGGUCCUAAGGUAGCGAAAUUCCUUGUCGGGUAAGUUCCGACCCGCACGAAAGGCGUAAUGAUUUGGGCACUGUCUCAACAAUGCACCCGGUGAAAUUGAAAUACCAGUGAAGAUGCUGGUUACCUGCGCCAGGACGGAAAGACCCCAUGGAGCUUUACUCUAGCUUGAUACUGGGAUUCGAUAUUGCAUGUACAGGAUAGGUGGGAGACUUUGAACUGAUGACGCCAGUUGUCAGGGAGUCACUGUUGGGAUACCACCCUUGUAGUAUUGGAUUUCUAACCAGCAGCCGUGAACCGGCUGGGGGACAAUGUCAGGUGGGGAGUUUGACUGGGGCGGUCGCCUCCGAAAGGGUAUCGGAGGCGCUCAAAGGUUCCCUCAGAAUGGUUGGAAACCAUUCGAAGAGUGCAAAGGCAGAAGGGAGCUUGACUGCGACACCGACGGGUGGAGCAGGUACGAAAGUAGGACUUAGUGAUCCGGUGGUAUAAAGUGGGAUUGCCAUCGCUCAACGGAUAAAAGCUACCCUGGGGAUAACAGGCUUAUCACUCCCAAGAGUUCACAUCGACGGAGUGGUUUGGCACCUCGAUGUCGGCUCAUCGCAUCCUGGGGCUGAAGUAGGUCCCAAGGGUUGGGCUGUUCGCCCAUUAAAGCGGUACGCGAGCUGGGUUCAGAACGUCGUGAGACAGUUCGGUCCCUAUCCGGCGUGGGCGUAGGAUAUUUGAGAGGAGCUGCCCUUAGUACGAGAGGACCGGGGUGGACUGGCCGCUGGUGGAUCUGUUGUAUUACCAAAUGCAUAGCAGAGUAGCCAAGCCGGGACGGGAUAAACGCUGAAGGCAUCUAAGCGUGAAGCCCCCCUCAAGAUGAGAUAUCCCAUAACGUCAAGUUAGUAAGACCCCUUGAAGACGACGAGGUAGAUAGGGCAGAGGUGGAAGUGUGGUAACACAUGGAGCUGACUGUUACUAAUAGGUCGAGGGCAUAACCAAG
This 1048-nucleotide ribosomal RNA is filed under the name Mediterraneibacter gnavus. RNAcentral describes it as "bacterial LSU rRNA". It matches the Rfam family "Bacterial large subunit ribosomal RNA", at positions 1882 to 2925 of the family's 2925-position model. The record is from RNAcentral. Lineage: Bacteria; Bacillati; Bacillota; Clostridia; Lachnospirales; Lachnospiraceae.